CGAACGCUGGCGGCGUGCUUAACACAUGCAAGUCGAACGGCAAGGCCCCUUUGGGGGUCCUCGAGUGGCGAACGGGUGAGUAACACGUGAGUAACCUGCCCUUGACUUCGGGAUAACUUCAGGAAACUGGGGCUAAUACCGGAUAGGAAUCCUUGCUGCAUGGUGGGGGUUGGAAAGCUUCGGCGGUUUUGGAUGGACUCGCGGCUUAUCAGCUUGUUGGUGGGGUAGUGGCUUACCAAGGCUUUGACGGGUAGCCGGCCUGAGAGGGCGACCGGCCACAUUGGGACUGAGAUACGGCCCAGACUCCUACGGGAGGCAGCAGUGGGGAAUAUUGCACAAUGGGCGGAAGCCUGAUGCAGCAACGCCGCGUGCGGGAUGACGGCCUUCGGGUUGUAAACCGCUUUCAGCAGGGGCGAAGCUUGUGGUGACGGUACCUGCAGAAGAAGCACCGGCUAACUACGUG
Molecule: ribosomal RNA, 463 nt
Filed under: uncultured bacterium
Lineage: Bacteria
Description: partial 16S ribosomal RNA
Rfam family: Bacterial small subunit ribosomal RNA
Source: RNAcentral